UACGUAGGGUGCGAGCGUUAAUCGGAAUUACUGGGCGUAAAGCGUGCGCAGGCGGCUUUAUAAGACAGAUGUGAAAUCCCUGGGCUCAACCUAGGAACUGCGUUUGUGACUGUAAAGCUGGAGUGCGGCAGAGGGGGGUGGAAUUCCACGUGUAGCAGUGAAAUGCGUAGAGAUGUGGAGGAACACCGAUGGCGGAGGCAGCCCCCUGGGUUGACACUGACGCUCAUGCACGAAAGCGUGGGGAGCAAACAGG
This 253-nucleotide ribosomal RNA is filed under the name uncultured bacterium. RNAcentral describes it as "partial 16S ribosomal RNA". It matches the Rfam family "Bacterial small subunit ribosomal RNA", at positions 524 to 776 of the family's 1533-position model. The record is from RNAcentral.